This 292-nucleotide ribosomal RNA is filed under the name uncultured bacterium. RNAcentral's name for it is "partial 16S ribosomal RNA". It matches the Rfam family "Bacterial small subunit ribosomal RNA", at positions 505 to 796 of the family's 1533-position model. The record is from RNAcentral.
GUGCCAGCCGCCGCGGUAAGACGAACCGUGCGAACGUUGUUCGGAAUCACUGGGCUUAAAGGGCGCGUAGGCGGGCUGUCAAGUCUGGGGUGAAAUGCCACGGCUCAACCGUGGAACUGCCUCAGAUACUGACGGCCUCGAGGGAGGUAGGGGCGUGCGGAACUGUAGGUGGAGCGGUGAAAUGCGUUGAUAUCUACAGGAACUCCGGUGGCGAAAGCGGCGCGCUGGACCUCUUCUGACGCUGAGGCGCGAAAGCUAGGGGAGCAAACGGGAUUAGAUACCCCGGUAGUCC